This 457-nucleotide ribosomal RNA is filed under the name uncultured bacterium. Its description in RNAcentral is "partial 16S ribosomal RNA". It matches the Rfam family "Bacterial small subunit ribosomal RNA", at positions 28 to 523 of the family's 1533-position model. The record is from RNAcentral.
GAUGAACGCUGGCGGCGUGCCUAAUACAUGCAAGUCGUACGGAAAGGCCCUUCGGGGUACUCGAGUGGCGGACGGCUGAGUAACGCGUGGGAACGUGCCCCAAAGUGAGGGAUAACGCACCGAAAGGUGUGCUAAUACCGCAUAUGGUCUGCGGAUUAAAGCUUCUGCGCUUUUGGAGCGGCCCGCGUACGAUUAGAUAGUUGGUGAGGUAAUGGCUCACCAAGUCGACGAUCGUUAGCUGGUCUGAGAGGAUGAUCAGCCAGACUGGGACUGAGACACGGCCCAGACUCCUACGGGAGGCAGCAGUAAGGAAUCUUCCACAAUGGGGGCAACCCUGAUGGAGCAACGCCGCGUGCAGGAUGAAGGUUUUCGGACCGUAAACUGCUUUUAUAAGUGAAGAAUAUGACGGUAACUUAUGAAUAAGGAUCGGCUAACUACGUGCCAGCCGCCGCAGUAA